RNAcentral lists this ribosomal RNA (232 nucleotides) under uncultured bacterium. RNAcentral describes it as "partial 16S ribosomal RNA". It matches the Rfam family "Bacterial small subunit ribosomal RNA", at positions 100 to 334 of the family's 1533-position model. The record is from RNAcentral.
CGGGACGGGUGAGGAAUACAUCGGAAUCUGCCUUGUUGUGGGGAUAACGUAGGGAAACUUACGCUAAUACCGCAUAAGACCGUAAGGUGAAAGCGGGGGAUCGAAAGACCUCGCGCGACAAGAUGAGCCGAUGUCGGAUUAGCUAGUUGGCGGGGUAAUGGCCCACCAAGGCGACGAUCCGUAGCUGGUCUGAGAGGACGACCAGCCACACUGGGACUGAGACACGGCCCAG